ACGGGUGAGUAACGCGUGGGAAUCUACCCAUCUCUACGGAAUAACGCAUGGAAACGUGUGCUAAUACCGUAUACGUCCUUCGGGAGAAAGAUUUAUCGGAGAUGGAUGAGCCCGCGUUGGAUUAGCUAGUUGGUGGGGUAAAGGCCUACCAAGGCGACGAUCCAUAGCUGGUCUGAGAGGAUGAUCAGCCACACUGGGACUGAGACACGGCCCAGACUCCUACGGGAGGCAGCAGUGGGGAAUAUUGGACAACGGGCGCAAGCCUGAUCCAGCCAUGCCGCGUGAGUGAUGAAGGCCCUAGGGUUGUAAAGCUCUUUCACCGGUGAAGAUAAUGACGGUAACCGGAGAAGAAGCCCCGGCUAACUUCGUGCCAGCAGCCGCGGUAAUACGAAGGGGGCUAGCGUUGUUCGGAUUUACUGGGCGUAAAGCGCACGUAGGCGGACUAUUAAGUCAGGGGUGAAAUCCCGGGGCUCAACCCCGGAACUGCCUUUGAUACUGGUAGUCUUGAGUUCGAGAGAGGUGAGUGGAAUUCCGAGUGUAGAGGUGAAAUUCGUAGA
This 557-nucleotide ribosomal RNA is filed under the name uncultured Phyllobacterium sp. RNAcentral's name for it is "bacterial SSU rRNA". It matches the Rfam family "Bacterial small subunit ribosomal RNA", at positions 102 to 694 of the family's 1533-position model. Lineage: Bacteria; Pseudomonadati; Pseudomonadota; Alphaproteobacteria; Hyphomicrobiales; Phyllobacteriaceae. The record is from RNAcentral.